GCAUGGCAUGGAUUAAGGGCACAACUCCAGCCUUCCAAGCUGGCGGUGCGGGUUCGAUUCCCGCUGCCCGCUCCA
RNAcentral lists this transfer RNA (75 nucleotides) under Armatimonadota bacterium. RNAcentral describes it as "Armatimonadetes bacterium (sediment metagenome) tRNA-Gly". The stretch from base 5 to 68 matches the Rfam family "tRNA". From Rfam's summary of the family: Transfer RNA (tRNA) molecules are approximately 80 nucleotides in length. Their secondary structure includes four short double-helical elements and three loops (D, anti-codon, and T loops). The record is from RNAcentral. Lineage: Bacteria; Bacillati; Armatimonadota.